RNAcentral lists this ribosomal RNA (253 nucleotides) under uncultured bacterium. Its description in RNAcentral is "partial 16S ribosomal RNA". It matches the Rfam family "Bacterial small subunit ribosomal RNA", at positions 524 to 776 of the family's 1533-position model. The record is from RNAcentral.
UACAGAGGUGGCAAGCGUUGUUCGGAAUUACUGGGCGUAAAGGGCGCGUAGGCGGUCCGAUAAGUCCCGUGUGAAAUCCCUCGGCUCAACUGAGGAAUGGCACGGGAAACUGCCGGGCUUGAGUUCGGGAGAGGGAAGCGGAAUUCCGGGUGUAGCGGUGAAAUGCGUAGAUAUCCGGAGGAACACCGGUGGCGAAGGCGGCUUCCUGGACCGACACUGACGCUGAGGCGCGAAAGCUAGGGGAGCAAACGGA